GGGGACGACAGGCUUCGACGUGGUCGGAUCGUGGGGGUGGUCGCGAGUCGAGGUUCCAGGCGGCCUCGUAAAAAACCUGGAAAACAAUAAGUGCGGACUCGCACAACUUUGAUCUCGGCCUCGCUGCUUAAUUCCAGCGUAGCCUGAGCUUCAGCCCGCUCCUCAUUUGUUCGCGAUGAGGACUCGGGUUCAUUAGCGAACUAGCUCGGAUCCGAUUUGCUCCCUCGGGUCCGGGGACCACCCAGGGAGCUGGUCUCAACGGACCCGGCCGGCGUGGCGACGUUGAGAUGAGAUUUGAACGCCGGCUACGCUCGUAGACGCUACCUCUUACGCGACCGCGGACCCGGGUUCAAUUCCCGGCGUCUCCAUCA
Molecule: transfer-messenger RNA, 371 nt
Filed under: Solirubrobacteraceae
Lineage: Bacteria; Bacillati; Actinomycetota; Thermoleophilia; Solirubrobacterales
Also listed under: 1 other name
Description: Palsa-465 sp017354065 Standard tmRNA
Rfam family: transfer-messenger RNA
About the family: Bacterial tmRNA, also known as 10Sa RNA or SsrA, is named for its dual tRNA and mRNA-like properties.
Source: RNAcentral